This 874-nucleotide ribosomal RNA is filed under the name uncultured ammonia-oxidizing bacterium. RNAcentral's name for it is "bacterial SSU rRNA". It matches the Rfam family "Bacterial small subunit ribosomal RNA", at positions 9 to 873 of the family's 1533-position model. The record is from RNAcentral.
AGAGUUUGAUCAUGGCUCAAAUUGAACGCUGGCGGCAUGCUUUACACAUGCAAGUCGAACGGCAGCACGGGGGCAACCCUGGUGGCGAGUGGCGAACGGGUGAGUAAUGCAUCGGAACGUGUCUUCGAGUGGGGGAUAACGCACCGAAAGGUGUGCUAAUACCGCAUAAUCUCUACGGAGAAAAGCAGGGGAUCGCAAGACCUUGCGCUCUUGGAGCGGCCGAUGUCUGAUUAGCUAGUUGGUGAGGUAAAGGCUUACCAAGGCGACGAUCAGUAGCUGGUCUGAGAGGACGACCAGCCACACUGGGACUGAGACACGGCCCAGACUCCUACGGGAGGCAGCAGUGGGGAAUUUUGGACAAUGGGGGAAACCCUGAUCCAGCCAUGCCGCGUGAGUGAAGAAGGCCUUCGGGUUGUAAAGCUCUUUCAGCCGGAACGAAACGGUCACGGCUAAUACCUGUGACUACUGACGGUACCGGAAGAAGAAGCACCGGCUAACUACGUGCCAGCAGCCGCGGUAAUACGUAGGGUGCAAGCGUUAAUCGGAAUUACUGGGCGUAAAGCGUGCGCAGGCGGUUUUGUAAGUCAGAUGUGAAAUCCCCGGGCUUAACCUGGGAACUGCGUUUGAAACUACAAGGCUAGAGUGUGGCAGAGGGGGGUGGAAUUCCACGUGUAGCAGUGAAAUGCGUAGAGAUGUGGAGGAACACCGAUGGCGAAGGCAGCCCCCUGGGUUAACACUGACGCUCAGGCACGAAAGCGUGGGGAGCAAACAGGAUUAGAUACCCUGGUAGUCCACGCCCUAAACGAUGUCAACUAGUUGUCGGGUCUUAACGGACUUGGUAACGCAGCUAACGCGUGAAGUUGACCAAUCACUA